This 251-nucleotide small nuclear RNA is filed under the name Octodon degus (degu). Its description in RNAcentral is "7SK RNA (ENSODEG00000022539.1)". It matches the Rfam family "7SK RNA", at positions 1 to 277 of the family's 331-position model. Rfam says of the family: 7SK was discovered as an abundant small nuclear RNA in the mid-70s but a possible function has only recently been suggested. Two independent studies have found that 7SK RNA binds the CDK9/cyclin T complex (known as elongation factor P-TEFb). P-TEFb activates transcription by phosphorylating the C-terminal domain of RNA polymerase II. Lineage: Eukaryota; Metazoa; Chordata; Mammalia; Rodentia; Octodontidae. The record is from RNAcentral.
GUGUGUGAGGGAAAUCUGGCUGGGACACAUGUCACCCCACUGAGGAGCAGGGUUGAUUCCUCUAACUUGCUUCCCCCCUUACUGCUUCAUGUGCAUCCCUCCCACAGAUGCACACUUGGGUGAAGAGAAGGACCAACCCAUCCCUCUCAGAUGGAGAAGGAGUCUACCUCCCUCAAGGGGAUACCAGCAGGUGUGCUCCCCUGUGGGAGCCUGCAACUCUCAAGAAAAUGGCAUCCCAGGGACAACCCUCU